UACGAAGGGUGCAAGCGUUACUCGGAAUUACUGGGCGUAAAGCGUGCGUAGGUGGUUUGUUAAGUCUGUUGUGAAAUCCCACGGCUCACCCGUGGAACUGCUGGGUAUACUGGGCGUCUUGAGCCACCUAGGGGCCAGCGGAACAAAUGGUGGAGCGGUGAAAUGCGUAGAUAUCAUUUGGAACGCCAACGGUGAAAACAGCUGGCUGGGGGUGUGCUGACGCUGAGACACGAAAGCCAGGGGAGCGAACGGG
This 253-nucleotide ribosomal RNA is filed under the name uncultured bacterium. RNAcentral's name for it is "partial 16S ribosomal RNA". It matches the Rfam family "Bacterial small subunit ribosomal RNA", at positions 524 to 776 of the family's 1533-position model. The record is from RNAcentral.